GAAGAAGGAGGAUUGUGUAGGGCAAGAUUCAGGUGUCACACUUUGUUACAUGAAGUCAAGUGCUGCCUACACUAAAUGACCAUAUUUGCUUUCACAGAGAGAAACAAAACUAUGAAGGUAACCUGAAUAGGCUUAAGAGAAAGGAGUCCCUACUGCUUACUUCUAUCACUGCAGGGAGCCCAGGUGUCCCAGGGGACUUUAGGAUCAUUGCUAGCCAGUGAAAUGAGAAAAAUAAGGUGAAAUGAAGACUUUUCUAAUUACAGACACUGCUUGCAAAGCUCAUUGCUCUGUAGUUCAUAAGUGCACUUUAGGAGCAAUCUCAGAGAAGGACUUUGGCUUUGAAAGUAGUCUCAGAUUGUCAUCCAAACCACACCUACUCUCUUCUUGAUCCAAGGGAAGCAUAAACCCCCUGGAUAUGUAAGCUUUUACCCUGAAAACAUACCCUAGGGAAUCCUCAAUUUGAAAGUGAGUGGCUAACUAAUUAAUCCCAGCAAGAUCCAGGAAUUAGGCAAAGUUAAGCCUCUGAAUCUGUUAAGUACAAGUUGAACAAUCUUCAGUGUCUUCAGGAUCAACACAUGGCCUUGCUUCUGUCUGUUUUGAAAAGGAAAACAACUCUAGAUAUAACCAAAUGGUGAGAUUUCCCAAGUUCCAGGCUAUCAGCAUUGAAAAGAGUAUGAAAUAAGAUACCUCAAUUACUCUAAGCUUUUCUUUAUGGUCUCCAAUUCUAGAUUUUGAGUCUACCUGGAGAAAUACUUUGAGAAUUGUCGUUCUGCAGCUGGAGCAACUUAACUCUGUUUUGAAUUUUAGGUGCUAAGGAUCUUCAGAGUUAGAUCCACUGAGAUAUUUAGACCCACAGAUAUUUUGGCACCCAACUUCUGUUUGUCCCACCACCUGCAUCAACAGAGUUUAAAGUCAACUUGGGUGUAAAGAGCAUCAGAAAAUGAAAGUACCAAACAAUCUCUGCCUUUAGAGAGAGAGAAGGCAGUUGUUAUCUAAAAAUUUCCUCCACAUUAGGUUCUUAUUAUCUUUCCUUUUGCACCAUCAACUGUUCCAUGCAAUUGUGCUUGGAAUCAUUCAACUGAAAAGAAAGGCUCCCCUGUCCAUCUUCCUGGCAAACGUGUUCAAAGGUACCUCCUUUUUUCAUUCCCUUUCUCAGAUCUGGCUGGUGAAGCUUAUCAAACAGAGCGUUAACAGCAUAGCCUCUCUAAGUCUCCAAAGUCUGACCCCAAAUACAGAGAUCACUGAAUCUGUUGCGGGUUAGCAUAUGGCACUUGUUUGAGAACAUUGUUAGUGAAAGACUGAAUCCGGCAGCCUGACAGAUCCAAGUCUGCUGUAGCUAGCUCUAUGCCCUAUAAUCAACCACUACUGAUGCUGGGCAUAUACUGCCUAUAGAUACACACACACAGGCACUCAUAUGCAGCAUAUAUGCAUUUAUAAAUGCACAUACACAUCCACAUUGGUCACAGGUAGACACACAGAGCACUCAUACAAACAGCCUGUAGAAACCACUUCAUCCUGUCCUCUACCUGGCUGAUAAGAGUGAAAGUCUGUCAAUGCAAAAUAUAUAUAUAUAUAUAUGUGUGUGUAUAUAUAUAUAUAAUACGUACAUAUAUAUAUAUACAUAUGUAUAAUAAGUAUGCAUGCAUACAAGGGCUGCUCCAUAAGUAAUAGCUCUUAUUUCAUUAUGUUGGCCCACGAUGUCAGAGGUGGAUGUUGGUGGUAUCACACUGGGGGCUGAUCCUUCCCAUCAAUAUUCCACUACACUUUGUUGCUGUGUGAAAAGCUGCAUAUUCAUUGAAGUUUUCUGAAGGUUUAUGGAGACCAACCAGUGGAUGUCAGCAUGGUAAGGAGGUUUGCGGUGUGUUUCAGCAGUGGAAACAGUGACAGUGGGUCAGCUCAGGUGCUGCAGAUUUUUGUUAGUGCAGCAUGCAAGCUCUUGUUCAUUGCUUGUGAAAAUGCAGAGCUAAUGGUGGUGUCUAAGUUGAAAAAUAGUGUUUUGUAUCUGAGAAUCUGCUCUAUCAAAUAGCAUGUUUGUGCUCUUUGAACCUGAUGUAGUUUCCAUGGAAAUAAACAGGAGGCAUUAUUUUUGGAGCAACCUAUGUAUUUGCAGGCACACGUGUAUAAAAUAUAGAUCCACUAGUAGCUAGGCUCAAAACUUCAGUGUGCCCAGUGGCUGCUCCUGGGUCCCAGUCUUACUAGUUGCAGGCAAAACCUAAAGGGUUAAGUAAUCUGAAUGAAUGGGGAUUUUGGCUCCUCAGGUUAUUUUGGUUCCCCCCCACUGCUAGGCUCUCUGCUCCUCUGUGUGCAUGGAGAUGAGCCUUUUAUCUCACAAGCUGACAAAUAUCUGCUUUCUGUGAGAUUUUUUGUUGCCUGCCUAGAUCCUGCUCUGUCUCUGAGGCGCAUAAGCUCUGUCAUGCUCAUUACAUGGAGAGCAUCAGGAAACUUGUCCCCUCAAGCUACUGAUGACACAUUCACUUUGCACCUUCACAGAGAGAGAAAGGGGAGAUCUGCCUUUUGAAGCAGAAAAAGCAACUGCUGCAAACCUGCAGUGUGUUUAAUGGAAGAGGACGUCUGGUUUCCAUGUAACGCUAAUAAAGUAUUCAGUACACUGGCAGGAGGAGCCUGGAAUGGAUGUGGGUGGUGAGGGUUGUGGGAAGCAGAGAGGAGACAGAGGGGUGUUAGAGGAUGGCCAGCUUGUGAUAGCAGGGAAAUCAAAGCCUUGUAAAGAGGAAAAUAUUUUAAAUGUUAUUUCAGUGUUUCAUCAAAAAAGAUUUUGCAAAGCUAUUUGUGACUGACUCUUUGGAGAUCUUGGUAUAAGGUUAUACUUAUACAUGUUUAAAGCAAUUCCAAGAUUUAUCCAUUUAGAAGAAAAAGUGUAAAACUUAAAAAAAAAAUGAAAAAGAAAAAAUGUAUUUUCUCCUUGUCUUCAUAAAAGAAGGCAGAAGAAAAAAAAAAACAAAAAACAGAGCAAGCAAAUAACCUUUUUUUUUUUUUUUUUCCUCCCUGAAAAUAACCCUAGAAACACCCAGCACAGCAUAAAAAAUCAUCAAAUGCUUUUGAACUAAAAGCCAUUCUUUUCUUGGGAAAACAUGUAUAGACAAAAAUACCCAAGCUGCCAAACUGAUAAAUACAAUUGACCUGCUGUGAUGUUAACUUAGAGCUCAUCGAUUUCAUUUCUGAUGUGCCACAGGAACAUUCAUUUGCACUGAGUGCUAGCUAAGACCUUUUCAUUAGUGCUGCAGCAGCUGGAUUGUAGAUUUGGUCAAUGCGGAUGGGUAUGGAAUGACUUGGGCUCUUCUACCCCAGCUUUUGUCUGGCCAGAUGUGAGCUUAUGACAAUAGGCUGUUCCUGUGAAAGGCCAGGCAUGGUAGCCCAGGUGCAGUGCUGGAGUAGAGCUGGGGUCAAGCUUUGUGUUAUGAUUGGAUACUGAAAAAAAAGAAAUAGGUAAUUUGAGUUAAACCUGGUUAUUUACUCAAAACAAGCUCUCAUAAAGCCAUUUUCGAGAUUGUAUCAGAGCAUCUUCCAGUAAUGAAUUAUUCAGUUUAAUCAAUUUUUCACUCUCUCCUGCAUGAUUAGGAAACUGGGAUCUGGGACACAAAAUUGAGAGUGAUCCAUGGAGCAUCUCUAACUUUGAUAAGACCAGCCCUACUGGGAAUUUUCUUCAUUUAAAAACUGGGAGAUAAAGGGAUUGAGGCCGAUGCUGCUGUAGCUGAAAAGGGCGUCUCAUUCCAUACAGUUCAUAGAGACGCUGAGUCCAUUCCAUCCAUUCCAUAUGUCCUACAUCUCUGUGCUGGCAGUGAGAUAGUGAGGUCUGGGAAUGGGGAAUACUGGGAAUACUACUCUUCUCUUCUCUUCUCUUCUCUUCUCUUCUCUUCUCUUCUCUUCUCUUCUCUUCUCUUCUCUUCUCUUCUCUUCUCUUCUCUUCUCUUCUCUUCUCUUCUCUUCUCUUCUCUUCUCUUCUCUUCUCUUCUCUUCUCUUCUCUUCUCUUCUCUUCUCUUCUCUUCUCUUCUCUUCUCUUCUCUUCUCUUCUCUUCUCUCUUCUUUUACUUUAUUUUCUUUCUCCUCCCCAGAUAAAAUUGUCUACCUGCAAAAUGAAUCAUCUGAAUUUAGGUUUUCCUUUAAAGUUUUAUGGGCUGCAUAUUUGCUCCCCAUCCUUUCUUUAAUUUUGCUAGUGAGGAGCCUGUCUGUACCAUGCAACUCACAACUGCCUGGGAGACCUGUGACAAGUAAAUUUCAGUCUCUCAGUAGAGCUGGUAUUCUUAGAGCUGCAGGAGCAGUCAUCAUGAAGGGGAAAGCUGUGAACGCCAAUAAAUUAUUGAAGAAAGCAGGAGAAAUAUUUCCUUCUGUUGACACAUUGGCAUUCACCUUUGGGAAUGUAAUCAUGGGAAAGGUAGGCAAUCUUUUGUCAUAGAGAUCUUUUGCUCGGAGAAUUCAGUCUUUUUAAAACCUUAGGAGGGAGCCUGCAAGCCCUCAACAUGGAAGGGGUAUUCAAGUUAUAGGAUGUCUUCAGGCAGACAAGUUUCUCAGAAAUGACAGUGAAACUGAAUUAAGUCUGCAACACAUUAAAAUUACUUGGUGAUAAAAAGGGAGGUUAGUGAGGUAGAGAGUAAACCCCUCCAGCUCCCUGACACCCCGGGACAGUUUCCAAUCAGGAGGGGGAUUGUUUUCUACGAACAAAACAAGACAGCAUUAGUACAAGACAGAGCAUAAACAUGGCAAAAUUUAGAGUUCAGAGAAGAACAGAAGAUGGAAGCCAACCUCUUGGUGUAAGGCAGAGGAAACAGCAAGGACAUGCCUACAAGAUCAACAUUUCCUUUUGGGUUGUGACAUGGGGGAAGGACUGGGGCAGUUCUUGAGAGCUGGGGUGGUGCAGGAGUGGUUUCUUCUAGCCUGAAAAUCUGAUUCUACCUCUUUCUUCCAUCACUGAAACAAAGGAACCUACCCAGGCCUGUGAACAUAGAUUUGUCUGUCUGAAUUUCAAAUUUUGCUUGGAAAGCCAUCAAAUUAGCACUGAUGUUUUAUUCCAACAUCAGAAACGGCAGGGAAAAAUACCCAGGAGCUCGUUGGAUUUAAAUCCACAGAAUCAUCUCCAGUUUUGUUUAGACGAGAUGAGUGAAUAACCCCCCUUCUCAGCAUCAUAUUUGGCUCAAAUCACCAAUUUACUGGUUUACAAAAAUCUAAAACUGCCCCUCCGGCAAAUUAAGGGAUUACGUCAAUCACUCAAGUCCAUUCUACCUGACAACAGCACGCAGCAACAGGGCAAAAGGUUUGAUGCUCUGCUGGAAUGUGAUAAGGAGAAAAUGCCAAAUGACACAUAGGCAAAGUUAUUACCAGCGAGAUGAAGACAAACUGGAGGGAGUUCAGAGAAGUGCAACAAAAAUGAUUAGAGAGCUGGAGGGGUUGAUUUAGAAGGAAAGUUUACAAGAACAACUGGCAAUAUGCACAGCAGGGCUGAGCAACAUCUGAGGGGGGAGAGAGAGCCAGUUGCAAACAUCUGAACAGUGCAAACACCCAGGGAGGAACACAAUUACCCAAGGGGGAAAUAACUAAGAUAAUAGGUUGAAAUUAGGAGAAAGAGAUAAACAUCAAAAUAACUUCUCAGUGAAAAGACUGUGGAAUAACCUACUAUGGGAAGACAUGGAAGUCCAAGCCAAGCAGGCUAUAAAUUCCUUCCCACAGCCCCUGCAGAUACAAAAGUCAGCCACAGAUAACUUUGAAAACAAUUUCUAAGCAACAAAUGUCAGAACUUCUGCAAGAAACCAGGUGUGAGAAGGUGUUUAGAACUGAUGAUUUCCAGAUAACUCUACUAGUUUUCUUGCUGUUCAAAUGCACAAUGGGGAGGAGUUUGAAAAGGCUCUUGCUUUCUGUUUCCUGGGUGAAAUGACUGCACUGGAAACCUCCAAAAGUGCAGUUGUGGCAAUCAAGACAUUGCCCACUCAUCGACAAAUAGUUUUCCAGUUGAGAUAGUUGGUUUAAAUCUCCCUCAGGUUUGGAGUGACUGGAAAUCAACACCAGAUAAUGGCUGUUUGGUAGUAGAUGUGACAUGAGUUAAUGCACUCACUUGAAUUUCUAGUGGAUAUUGGACAUGUGCUCACAUUACAAAUGCUUUGAACAGCAUGAUCAGCAUUAAAUUAACAUCUACACUGACAAUCUUGCCAAAGAAAUCCAGAAGGAGAUGGACAUUAGUAAUGAACUGCACGUUCACCUUUGGAGUGAAGUCAUUAGCAAGGUAAACUUUACCUCAUGGGCUCUGAACCUCGUCUCCUCUACUGUAUUUCCUAACUCCUGGAUGGGAUGUCAAUUUGCAAAGCAGAUUAUUUAGCAUAUUUCCUCAGCAUACAAGAAACUGCUACCAUUAAAGAAAAUUUACAUUACAGAACGGUUGUUUAUUAGACAUUAUCAUUAAUUAAUAAGUAUUUUUAGCUGCUUCUUGACAAGGAAGGUGCAUGGCAUGCAUGUGACACAAUUCAUCUGGUUUUAUAGAAGGUAGUAAUAGCUGCAAUGAGUAUAGAAGUAGCACAGGACUCUCUUGCAGAGUGGUAUUUGAAGGUCUGGCUAAGCAAAGCCACUUAGGCCAUUUCUAGUUUAUUGUUGUUACACUUUGGUAUGGCUUUCUAGUAAUUUAUAGGGGUGUUUGUUGAGUUCAUGAGCUCUUGAGACCUGCAUCCAAUAAAAUAGUGAUGUACUUUCUCUUGACUGAAGGCAGAAGCAUAUAUCAUUGCAUGCAGUGGGUCUGAUAUCAUUUUAUGCUGGAUGGGGAAAAAGGCUGUGAAGCUCUGUAGCUUAGUAAAAGAAAAGGAAAAGUAAAGAAAAAUGGCAAUAAAGGACAUCACUUUGUGCAGGGCACUAUUUUGUUUCUAGAUUCUUUAGCUUCAUACAUUAGCAAGCCGGGAAUUUGGUGGGUUAAUCCUACCCUUGACUGUAAGAUCCCAUAUUAGUUAACGAUCUCUUUCUGAACUUGAUAUAAAGCCACAUAAGUUAAUGAGCAGCUAUUAGACAAAUCAUUAUUUAUAUACUUAUAUAUAUUCCCAUAAUUUUUCAUCUGUAUUUUAACUUUGCCAUGACAUAGGGUGCUAAUCCUUCAUGCUCUUGCAGUGUUAACAACAAUAUCUUUUCCCAUUUAAUUAAUAUUUUUAAAAGUUGCCUCAUCCUCCACCAUUAACAUCUUCCCCUCUAUCAAACAAUAAGUGAUAUGGAUCAGUCUUAGUCGAUUAGCUGUAAAGAAGAGGAAAAAUCACUAAGGCAGCAAGGCUUAUUCUUAAAGUAACUUCUCUCUUUCCACCUACUUGUCUAUUCUUAGACUACUGUAAACAUAAAAUGGUCAGGCAGCACAUAGAACAGUCCUAUCAUGUAGGAAAAAAAAAAAAAAUUGGUUCCUAGUGUGACUGUGCACCUUUGCAUAAAAUAAAUAAAUAAAAAUCUCUGUCAUGGAAAAGACAAAGGUAGCAUUGCUUUUACUGGUUUUCUCAGAAAUCUAACUUCCCUUCCCUUCCCUUCCCUUCCCUUCCCUUCCCUUCCCUUCCCUUCCCUUCCCUUCCCUUCCCUUCCC
Long non-coding RNA from Gallus gallus (chicken), 7550 nucleotides. The record is from Ensembl. NCBI's taxonomy places the organism in Eukaryota, Metazoa, Chordata, Aves, Galliformes, Phasianidae.